ACACAUUUGAACAUCGACAUUUCGAACGCACAUUGCGGUCCGUGGAGAAACAUCCAGGACCACUCCUGUCUGAGGGCCG
This 79-nucleotide ribosomal RNA is filed under the name Polyommatus pierceae. RNAcentral describes it as "partial 5.8S ribosomal RNA". The record is from RNAcentral. Lineage: Eukaryota; Metazoa; Arthropoda; Insecta; Lepidoptera; Lycaenidae.